UUAGAGUUUGAUCCUGGCUCAGGACGAACGCUGGCGGCGUGCUUAACACAUGCAAGUCGAACGAGAGGAGAAGGAAGCUUGCUUCUUUCAAAUCUAGUGGCAAACGGGUGAGUAACACGUAAACAACCUGCCUUCAGGAUGGGGACAACAGACGGAAACGACUGCUAAUACCGAAUACGUUCCUUAGGUCGCAUGACUUUAGGAAGAAAGGGUGGCCUCUACUUGUAAGCUAUCGCCUGAAGAGGGGUUUGCGUCUGAUUAGGUAGUUGGUGAGGUAACGGCCCACCAAGCCGACGAUCAGUAGCCGGUCUGAGAGGAUGAACGGCCACACUGGAACUGAGACACGGUCCAGACUCCUACGGGAGGCAGCAGUGGGGAAUCUUCCGCAAUGGGCGAAAGCCUGACGGAGCAACGCCGCGUGAGUGAUGACGGCCUUCGGGUUGUAAAGCUCUGUGAUCGGGGACGAACGGUCAGCAGACGAAUACUCUGCUGAAGUGACGGUACCCGAAUAGCAAGCCACGGCUAACUACGUGCCAGCAGCCGCGGUAAUACGUAGGUGGCAAGCGUUGUCCGGAAUUAUUGGGCGUAAAGCGCGCGCAGGCGGCUUCUUAAGUCCAUCUUAAAAGUGYGGGGCUUAACCCCGUGAUGGGAUGGAAACUGAGAGGCUGGAGUAUCGGAGAGGAAAGUGGAAUUCCUAGUGUAGCGGUGAAAUGCGUAGAGAUUAGGAAGAACACCGGUGGCGAAGGCGACUUUCUGGACGACAACUGACGUUGAGGCGCGAAAGCGUGGGGAGCAAACAGGAUUAGAUACCUUGGUAGUCCACCCCGUAAACGAUGAAUACUAGGUGUAGGAGGUAUCGACCCCUUCUGUGCCGGA
This 876-nucleotide ribosomal RNA is filed under the name uncultured bacterium. RNAcentral describes it as "bacterial SSU rRNA". It matches the Rfam family "Bacterial small subunit ribosomal RNA", at positions 1 to 850 of the family's 1533-position model. The record is from RNAcentral.